AUUGAACGCUAGCGGGAUGCUUUACACAUGCAAGUCGAACGGCAGCGCGGACUUCGGUCUGGCGGCGAGUGGCGAACGGGUGAGUAAUAUAUCGGAACGUGCCCAGUAGCGGGGGAUAACUACGCGAAAGCGUGGCUAAUACCGCAUACGCCCUACGGGGGAAAGGGGGGGAUUCUUCGGAACCUCUCACUAUUGGAGCG
Molecule: ribosomal RNA, 200 nt
Filed under: uncultured bacterium
Lineage: Bacteria
Description: partial 16S ribosomal RNA
Rfam family: Bacterial small subunit ribosomal RNA
Source: RNAcentral